CCCUUAGAUGUUCUGGGCUGCACGCGUGCUACACUGAUUACUUCAACAAGUGUUUUAACUGGAGAGUUCGCGUAAUCCUGAAAUGUUAUCGUGAUGGGAGUAGAGUAUUGUAUUUGUUAAUCUUUAACGAGGAAUUCCUAGUAAGUGUAGGUUUAUAAGUUGUUCUGAUUACGUCCUUGCCCUUUGUACACACCGCCCGUCGCUCCUACCGAUUGAUUGAUCCGGUGAAUUACAUAGAAUUUUGCGUUUUACAUGACGGAAGAUGAAGUGUUUUAAACCUUAUCAUUUAGAGGAAGGAGAAGUCGUAACA
Molecule: ribosomal RNA, 310 nt
Filed under: uncultured eukaryote
Lineage: Eukaryota
Description: partial 18S ribosomal RNA
Rfam family: Eukaryotic small subunit ribosomal RNA
Source: RNAcentral